Non-coding RNA from Vicugna pacos (alpaca), 2907 nucleotides. The record is from RefSeq and is a predicted model, not a curated record. Lineage: Eukaryota; Metazoa; Chordata; Mammalia; Artiodactyla; Camelidae.
AGAAAGGCGGAAGGAAUGCGGACCUUUCUGAAGUGACGGCCGCUCCAGCCUAUCAGAGGCGGGAUCAGGAAGGCGGGGCGGAAGACUGGAAGAAUGAAACGGAUUGACGGAGCGGAUAGCCAAUGAGAGGUUAGACUCAGACAGUACCGGACGACUAGAGGACCUGUCCGGGAAGGGAAAUGGGGCUACAUCCAGAAGGAAAAUUCCUUCUCAAGUAAUACGCGGACAAGCGCCAUACCCCGGGAUUUGGCCGGAGAGGCGCGCCUCCUGGUGGCGAAUCAGAGAGCGGCUCGUGCGCGUCCCUUGCCGCUGUCCCGGGAUCCAUGGAGGGAAGGGAAGGGAAGGGCUUCUGGCUGCCGAGGGUUCCCUGUGCGCGACUGCUGAGGCCAGAGGGGCACUGGAGGUGGCCUUGAGGUCCCAUGCUAUAGGCUGAGCGAUUCAAAGGAGGAGCCAAAGAUGAGUAGCAACUUUCCUCCUCUUCCCCCCACGUCCUCCUCCUUUUAAGCCAUCACAUUUAUUUGACAGCAAUUCAGUCAUUUGUCAAUGAAUUGAGGACCGAUUGUGUGCCAGGCCCCGUUCAAAGCACUGGACAAAGGCCCUUGCCCUAAUGGAGGUCGCAUAGUGACUGUGUGAGAGAAAUCCAGUAAACAAAUAAAGAAAAUACAUAACAUGUUCCAUGGUGAUCAGUACUAAGCAGAAAAAUAAAUCCAAGAAGGGGAGACAGGAGAUAGGAGGAGUGCUGGCAGUUUUUAAAUAGAGUGGUCAGGAACCGUCUCAUUGAGAAGAGGAUGUAUGAGUAGUGAUAUGAAGGAGGUGAAGAGGUAAGUCUGGUAGGUAUCUGGAAAAAGAACAUUCUCGGAAAAGGGAAUAGUCAGUGCAAAGGCCCUGAGGUUCCUGAGGCAGGACUAUUCCUGAUGUGUUUGAGGAAGAAGGCCGGUGUGGGGGCAGGGAAGAGAGAGAAAGGGAAAAAGAAAAGAGAAUAGUACCCAAGUGUGUUAAUAGGUUAGCAUUUGGGGGAUUUGGGUUAGGAAGAUACACACACACAAAUAUAGGUGUAUAUAUAUAUACACAUUUUUUUUCUGAAUCUUUUGAGAAUCAGUCAUAGACCUGAAUCCUUUUUAUUUCUAAAUACUUAGAUUUAUGUUUCAAAAAAAAAAAAGAUGUUCUCUUACGGAGAGACAUCUCUACUUUCUUAACUCAGAGGCUGAAUAGCCCUUUGCUGCAGAGGUCUAGCCUGUAUACUGUAGGAUUUUUAGCAUCCCUGACCUCCAACCACUAAGUGUCAGUAGCACACACACCCUUGGUUGUGAUCACCAAAAAUGUCUUCAGCCGUUACUUAAGGUCCCCUGGAUGACAGAAUUGUGCCCCUCCCCACCCCACUCCCACCCCAAACUGAGAACCAUUGGUUAUAUUACUCCAAGACAAUGAUCACAAACAGGAAGUUUAAUAUUGAUAUAAUAUUGCUACCUGAACUACAGACUUUCAAAUGUUAUCAGUGGUCCAAUAAUGUCUUUCUUAGAAAUUACUAUUAUUAUUUUAAUUUUAUUUUUAGGGGGAUGGUAAUUAGGCUUAUUUAUUUAUUUGUUUGUUUACUUAUAAUGGAGGUACUGGGGAUUGAACCCAGGACCUCGUGCAUGUUAAGCAGGCACUCUACCCUGCCCCUUCUUAGGAAUUUUUAUUUUCUGGUCUCUGGCCCAAUCCAGGAUCAUGCAUUGCAGACAGGUGUCAUGCCUGGAAUGUCCUUUCUCUUUCCUUGUCUUUUAUGUAAUUGACAUUUUUGAAGGUCAUAGGCCAAUCAUUUUGUAGAAUGUCCUUGUCUGGGAUAUUGCAUUUGUCUGGUUUUCCUCUUGAUUAGAUUCAGAUUCAGCAUCUUAAGAAGACAUUCCACGGAAGGGAUGAUGUGUCCUUCUCCAUGCAUUAUAUCAGGAGACACACAAUGUCCAUUUGCCCCAUUGCUGGUCAUUUAAAUAUGAUCACUUGAUAAAGGCAUUAUUUGUUUCUCCUCUGGGAAGUUACAUUUUUUUUCCUUUGUAAUAAAUAUGUAUUUUAUGGACAGAUACAUCGAAGCUACACAAAUACCCUGUUUCUCAUGAAACUUUAACUUAGCACUUUCAGCAUCCAUUGAUGAUGCUUCCUUGAAUCAAUUGUCCUGUUUGGUUGCUUUUAAUAAUUGUUUUAGAUUAAAAACUGAAUAAGCUCAAAAGUCUGCUUUUCAUGUACGUGUGAGGUGUAAAGAAUAACAAUGAAACAUACAUUCAUGUAACUUUCAACCAGGCUAAGAAAGAGAUAACAUCAGGACAGGUGAAAACCCAGUUCCUGCCUGGGGAUGGAUAUAAAUUGUUCAAAGCUGGGGAUGGUGGGGUCUUUGAAUAACUAGGUGGGGAGACAGGGAUGAAUUCCAGAACUACUCAAGUGGUGAAACUCAUGGGAUAUGGAACAGCUGGGUUUUGAGCCGGGAGAGGACAGUGGAAGGUGGAGGGUGAGGGUGAGGACUGGACAGAGAGAGGCUGCCCUUGGGGCUGAUGAGCCCUCAGAUCUGGGGGUGUAGGUGGUGAGGGGCGGGCACAGCCUCUCCAAGGCAGCUGGGCAUUCCAGACUGGGGCAGGGGCUGCUCUGGAGUUUCCAGGAGGCCCUCAAAAUGGCAAAGAGGCUGAAAGUGGCUUCCAAGAGGUUCAUGUGCAUCCUGGAGAGGCAGGAAGCCUCCCUCUCUUCUCCUCGGGCUCAAGUGUCAGCCUGGGACGGGGUGGGACAGAGAAGGGUCACAUGUCCUACCAUAAAUGUUGUUUGGAAUCCAGAAGAAAAAAUCCUGAAGAGGUCUAAGAUAAUUGCCUCUUUCCCUCACCCACCCAAUCAAAGUGCCUUCUCCCUGUUACACACCUCCAUGCUGGCUGGUGAGGCUGGGACGCU